GACGAACGCUGGCGGCGUGCUUAACACAUGCAAGUCGAACGGUGAAGCGCCUUCCUUUUUGGUGGGUGUGGAUGAGUGGCGAACGGGUGAGUAACACGUGAGUAACCUGCCCCCUUCUUCUGGAUAACCGCAUGAAAGUGUGGCUAAUACGGGAUAUUCUGGGUCUGUCGCAUGAUGGGUCUGGGAAAGAUAUUGUUUCGGUGUGGGCUGGGCUCGCGGCCUAUCAGCUUGUUGGUGGGGUGAUGGCCUACCAAGGCGGUGACGGGUAGCCGGCCUGAGAGGGUGGACGGUCACACUGGGACUGAGACACGGACCAGACUCCUACGGGAGGCAGCAGUGGGGAAUAUUGCACAAUGGGCGCAAGCCUGAUGCAGCGACGCCGCGUGAGGGAUGGAGGCCUUCGGGUUGUGAACCUCUUUCGCCAGUGAAGCAGGCCUGCCUCGUUUGUGGGUGGGUUGACGGUAGCUGGAUAAGAAGCGCCGGCUAACUACGUG
RNAcentral lists this ribosomal RNA (494 nucleotides) under uncultured bacterium. RNAcentral's name for it is "partial 16S ribosomal RNA". It matches the Rfam family "Bacterial small subunit ribosomal RNA", at positions 28 to 507 of the family's 1533-position model. The record is from RNAcentral.